GACGAACGCUGGCGGCGUGCUUAACACAUGCAAGUCGAACGGAAAGGCCCUGCUCUUGUGGGGUGCUCGAGUGGCGAACGGGUGAGUAACACGCGAGUAACAUGCCCUUGUCUUUGGGAUAACUCCAGGAAACUGGGGCUAAUACCGGAUAGGAGCUCCUGCUGCAUGGUGGGGGUUGGAAAGUUUCGGCGGUUGGGGAUGGACUCGCGGCUUAUCAGCUUGUUGGUGGGGUAGUGGCUUACCAAGGCUUUGACGGGUAGCCGGCCUGAGAGGGUGACCGGCCACAUUGGUACUGAGAGACGGCCCAGACUCCUACGGGAGGCAGCAGGGGGGAAUAUUGCAGAAUGGGCGGAAGCCUGAUGCAGCAACGCCGCGUGCGGGAUGACGGCCUUCGGGUUGUAAACCGCUUUCGCCUGUGACGAAGCGUGAGUGACGGUAAUGGGUAAAGAAGCACCGGCUAACUACGUG
Molecule: ribosomal RNA, 468 nt
Filed under: uncultured bacterium
Lineage: Bacteria
Description: partial 16S ribosomal RNA
Rfam family: Bacterial small subunit ribosomal RNA
Source: RNAcentral